Rattus norvegicus (Norway rat) is the source of this 5242-nucleotide non-coding RNA. NCBI's taxonomy places the organism in Eukaryota, Metazoa, Chordata, Mammalia, Rodentia, Muridae. The record is from RefSeq and is a predicted model, not a curated record.
CUUUGCUGCUGCACCCAUUGGCUCCCCGGAGGCGCCUGCGCACUAAGCACUUCAGAGUGCUUUCCCUCCGGCUUGGCUGAGCCGUUGCCCAGGCAACUGAGGGGCUUGUUCACCUGUAACAGCUUGUAACUCAUCUAAAAAAGCGUAGGGUUAUCUAAUUCAGGGUCUAACUCGGAUCUUGUAUCUCCACACCAGCUCUAAGUAUUGUAAACUCUGGUAACUGUUGUUUGGUCAGGUGGUCUUUGGUUUCUAUCCUCCCAUACUUGAGAAAUAGCAAAAUAUUAGUUUAGGAAGGGCUAGGAAGUGAGGGUGUUUAUUCAAGGUCAUUGAACCCUUUCAAAGGCUAAGGCGUCUUUAAUGAAAGUAAUGUAUACUCAGGUGAGUGCUCCAGAUACCAUGCUGAAAGCUAGCUGGGGAAAAAAGAGGUCCUACCUGCACCGGGCUUACACAUUGUGUGAGAAAGGCAUGUAGGAGAAAAUAAUCCCGAUUCUGGCUGAAUGCCAUGAACAUAGAUAGGGAACAGCACCGGAACAGAGUUUUAGUUUGCUAUGGCUAUUGUAAGAAGUUAUCACCAAGUGGCUUGAGAAUGAAAGAAAUUUAUUCUCUUAUAGUUCAGAAACUUGGAAAUAACAAAACGAAGGAGUCAGCGGGUCUGCCCUCCAUCUGGAGGCCUGAGGAAAAUCCUAUCCAUAAUUGUCAUCCUUUGACUACAGCUCACCAGUCCUGUCACCCUCCCUCUCCCCUAUGUGUCAACUUUGUAGUCUCUAAUGGGAAUACAUGUAAAGACAGGAAAAUCCUUUAUUAGUUAUUUUUUCCAUUGCUGUCACAAAAUACCUGACAAAGAAAGUCAAGGAAGGAGAGUAAUUCUGUAUGGCAAGUAUAAUUAACCUGUAAGACCCUCCUCCCCUGGGGACCAGGUAACCUCGGGAUGCUGGGAGUUGUAGUUCUUUAAAUGUAAGGACGGUUUCAUGGAAAAGUACUGUGAUCUAUAUAGGUUGGUCGUUAAAAACUUUUGCAACACCUGUCUCAGAGCCACUCACUAGGGAAAUUCCAGGUAUUGGUCCUGACCAGAAUCCAUCUCUUGGACAGUUUUGAAUAUCUAAUAAAGCUUGGGUCAAACUCGGCCCAAAAUGGCAGACUUGCUUUUUCUGCAGCAAAUCUCCAGAUUAACACAAGAACGGCAUGGUAACAGAAGCGUGAGGUUACAUUCCAUAGUCAGAACGCAGAGACGAAUACUGAUCAGGUCUUUCUCCAUUUUAUUUAGUCUUGGAUCGGAGCCCCUGGGGUGGUACCACCCAUGAUCAGGGUGGAUCUUUCUUGGUCAAACCUCUCUGGAAACAGCUUCAGACAGUGUUGAGAGGCCUGUCCCUCUGGUGAUCCUGAAUCCAGCCACAGAGGCCAUUUGUAUAGUUCAAACAAACUUUAGUCAGCAUUGAUCACCUCCCUUUGACUACCUCCCUGAUUCAUAGUCAGAGAACACUUCUAUUUCAUAGAUGCUUAUAUGGGUCCAUGGAAAAGUCAGUGCAUCUGUUGUCCCAGAUCUGGAGGAGGCAGAGAAUGGAGACAGGGUGAUCUCUGAAACGCAUUGGCCAGCCAGUCUGGUGAAAUUGGUGAGCUCCAGGUUCGGUCCACACCCUGACCAAAAUAAAAUGAAGAGUGAUGGAGAAAGAUACUUGAUGUCAACUUCUGCUCCCCACACAGAUCCACAAGUACAUGUGCACACACCAAAUGAACAUGUACAUAUGUCACAUGUAACACACACACACAGACACACACACAGACACAGACACACACAGACACAGACACACACAGACACAGACACACACACACACACACACACACACACACACACACACACAAAGUAAAAGUGAUUCCAACCACACCAGUUUUCUGCUUCUCAUCCUUUUAUGACUACAGAGCCUGUGUUGGUGCUGUAAAAUUGAACCCCUACCUCUGCUCCAAUUCCAGCCUACCUAUUUACCAACUCUGCUCUCCUUCCCAGCACACUGAGUACUUUUUAAAGUUCAUGUUUAUGUUUGGCACGUUCCGUUUCAUUGCAAGCCUUCAUAGUUAAGAGUUUACUUAUUAAGGACAAAUUAAUAAUCCCAAUUAAAAAUCAACUUACUAAUUUAUUUGUGUGUGUGUGUGUAUGUGUGUUUGUGCACACAUACACACACAUACACAUGCAUGGAUGUUACAGGACAACCUGAAUGAAUCAGUUCUCUUCUUCAACCACAUGCAUCUCAGGGGUUGAAGUUGUGGUAAGCACUUAUGCCUAUGGCUCUAUAUUUUUGGAACAGUAACUUCAAUUUUUAUUAAAAACAUUGCGACAGAGCCAAACAUGAUAAUCACUGUAUAUCUGAGUGUUUCUAACGUAGUUUUGUUUUUAUUACUUAUUUAUCUUUGUUUGGUGCUGUAAGAACAAAGGAUCACUUGCUGUCAGGCCAAAGACCAGCUCCUAACCCUCUGAGCUCCUAGCCAAUUAAAGACAUUGCUAGUUGUAUUUUCAUUUGCAAGUUUGGUAUAGGCCUAUUCAGACAAUGGCUAAAUCUGAAAGCUGCCACACUUAGAUCAGCCUGACAUAAUCUGAGAGUUGGCCUUAACACUCACAGUGGUGGUUGUCUAUAAAGCUCUAUAUAGUUCUUUAAAGAUAUGAGCAUAAAACCGGAGAUGGGACAAAGUCCAAUCUUAUAAUAGCAAUUGCUCUUCUUUAGUUUGGAUGAACGCUAGCUGUGUGCAAAAUCUUGGAUUUGAGUAUGCCUUCAAGAACAUCUACCAGAACUGUGAGAGAGAGAGAGAGAGAGAAAGAAAAAGCCAGCCUUCUCAAAUAACUUGGCUUAAAACAAGCUAUUUAUGUGUAUUAUAAAAGACAGUGAAACUGUUUCUUUAAUUGCUAUAAUUUUUUAAGAAGUCAGUACAUUUAGUAAUUGCAUUAAAUUGCUUAACUUAAUUUGACAACAUUAAGAAUUAGUCACUUUACAAGCUUUAAAAUGUUCAUUUUUGUUCUCUGAAGAAAGUAAUUUUGUGGAAUAUUAAUAUUAUUAAAGGAUAUGGGAAGGCAUUUAAAACAGAAUAGCCUAGAAACAGCUGUUCAAGGUGGCAGAAUCUUUGUUUGCCAAAGUAGCUAUUUAAGUUAAAUGUCUGUGAUUCUCUAUUUGGAAAGUAGCUACUCUUUGAACUAAGAGUAUACUGCUUCUACCACAAUCUAGUUAUGGUUUAUAUUUUGGCUUACAAUCUAUUCACCGUAAAGAGAAUAAAACCAGUAGUUUGGUUAUCAGAAUUUGUUAUGCUUUCCAAUGACAUUAGAAUGCUUAAAACUUGAGAAGUUUAUAUUUUUUCCACGUUGUGAUUGACUUUAGGAGUUAUAAUCAUGCUAAGCCUAUAAAAUUGUUUGAACCGUGUCUGUUCUGUGGUCCUAAGCAAGUUGUUAUUGAGAAAAGUUACUGAUAUCCAAGGUGUGUGUCUGACUAGUGGUCUGACCUGUUCUUUGACUAGAAGGUACAGCAUCACAGAGCUUUUGAUGUUUGUACUGUUUUUAGGGUUCUUUUUCAAGUGGUUCUGUUCAGUAAGAUUGAUGGAGACUGUUUCCUAACUUAAGAUAACCAAGGAUUCCAAGAGUUAUGCAGAAACUCGUGAUUCCCAGACCCAGCUGCUGCCUGAAGGCUGUCUUAGACAACGGCAUUAUUCUAGCCGUUGAAUGUUAAAGUAUGGAUACUUUCCUAAAGUAGUUUAUGGAAUAUCAUACAUUUAGGCUUAAGAAAAUGAAUAUACUUACAAAAUGCAUUUUAGAAAAAGAUUAAAUUAAUUGAAUGUAUAUAGGUAUUGAGGAAACUGUGGGGUCCUUUAUGAAGAAGAAGAGUUCAUACUGAGUAGCCAAAAGCAGAUAAAUAUCCACGGUCACAACAAAAAAUUUAAAAUCUCAUAUUUAGGCAGAAACAAUGAGGGAGAACACCUUCAAACACCCACAAUCAAACACUCCUUUGUUGGCUCCAUUGUCAUUCUGGUAAAGUAAGAAAGAAUGUAGGAGCCAUGAGGCCGGCUGCCUUUCAUCCUGCUCUGGUGUGAAAUCACAUACCACCAGACAGGCCUGCACUUCCUAGUCUACUCAUGUCACAAUACCAAUUCCCUGUAGUGUCAGUCGUGACACUGGGUGCCUUGGCGUGGGAGGCAGCUAUGCGUGAGCCAGUGCAGUGGAAUGUUUACAGGUCCCAGUGACAGGAAUUCUGAAGAGUUUCUGACCCUACGGUACCACGAAGCCAGACAACAGGCCCCUUCUCAACGCAGCUCCUGACUACAACGGACUCAGGGCUGCUAAGAGAUCAUGCCAUUCCUUUUCCAAAGCCAGGCUGCACACAGAUUUUAAUUUACUUGUCUAAUUGAACUAGCAUCGCCGAUAUCUAUGGUGACAAUUUCUGAGAACAUUUUCUUUCUCCUUCACCUUUGCAAAGGGGGAGACUGUCCCUUUCCGUUAUGUGGAAGUUUAUUUUAUUCUGAAUCCAAACAUUACUUCCAGGAGGGAGGGGGAUGACGCUCACGAGCCUAAAGGAGGAAAACAAAAGGUCACGUGUCUUCAGGAACCGAAACUUGGGAUGCUCAACUGUCUUUCUCCAGAAGUAUAGAAAGGAAUAAACACGUCCUAGAGGGGAGACCCUAACCAGUCCAAUUACCGAGAGGGGAUUUCUCAGACCGUUGAGCUACCUGCAAACUGCACAGAGGAGUUCGCAGCUUUUGUGAGGCACGGUUGGGCUCCUCAGCGAAGCAGCUGGGAUAACUCAUCUGUUACUGUCAGAGCUUUUCGGAGUAUGUUCUAGUCAUAUUUACACCUUGUAGCAAUAAGCUUGCUGCUCUUCCAAGGUGAAAUUGUGCGUUAACUAACCAAGUUGAACAAAAGAAUUUGAGCCUUUGAGUAUUUUUUUAUUACUAUCUCCUUAUUCCCAGUAUACUUCUCGGCAGAAACAAGUUCCUUCAGUGUGCUGGACAUGGAACCCAGCUCUCUUAGCUACGUGGCGCCGUGCGUAGCUGAACGUCCUUCAGUUCCAGGACUGGCACUUCUCUCAUCCACACGAAGCUGUUCUAUCUUUUCCUACUACUGUCUAAUCGGGAGUGUUUCUGCAGGAACAGUUCCUGACGUGUCUGAAAUCAGCCAUCCGAAAGCUGCUGAAAGCGAAUGCUGUGUUAGGUGCAGAUGCCACAGUCCCCUGUAACGCAAAAAAAAAAAAAAAAAAAAAAAAAAAAGCUAAAA